AGUGAACGCUGGCGGUAGGCCUAACACAUGCAAGUCGAACGGCAGCACAGUAAGAGCUUGCUCUUACGGGUGGCGAGUGGCGGACGGGUGAGGGAUACAUCGGAAUCUACUUUUUCGUGGGGGAUAACGUAGGGAAACUUACGCUAAUACCGCAUACGACCUACGGGUGAAAGCAGGGGAUCUUCGGACCUUGCGCGAUUGAAUGAGCCGAUGUCGGAUUAGCUAGUUGGCGGGGUAAAGGCCCACCAAGGCGACGAUCCGUAGCUGGGCUGAGAGGAUGAUCUGCCACACUGGAAUUGAGACACGGUCCAGACUCCUACGGGAGGCAGCAGUGGGGAAUAUUGGACAAUGGGCGGAAGGCUGAUCCAGCCAUACCGCGUGGGUGAAGAAGUCCUUCGGGUUGUAAAGCCAUUUUGUUGGGAAAGAAAAGCAGCAGGUUAAUACCCCGCUGUUCUGACGGUACCCAAAGAAUAAGCACCGGCUAACUUCGUG
This 492-nucleotide ribosomal RNA is filed under the name uncultured bacterium. RNAcentral's name for it is "partial 16S ribosomal RNA". It matches the Rfam family "Bacterial small subunit ribosomal RNA", at positions 29 to 507 of the family's 1533-position model. The record is from RNAcentral.